RNAcentral lists this ribosomal RNA (255 nucleotides) under uncultured bacterium. RNAcentral describes it as "partial 16S ribosomal RNA". It matches the Rfam family "Bacterial small subunit ribosomal RNA", at positions 338 to 590 of the family's 1533-position model. The record is from RNAcentral.
CCUACGGGGCGCAGCAGUGAGGAAUGUUGGUCAAUGGACGGAAGUCUGAACCAGCCAUGCCGCGUGCAGGAAGACGGCUCUAUGAGUUGUAAACUGCUUUUGUACAAGGGUAAACCUGAAUACGUGUAUUCAGCUGAAAGUACUGUACGAAUAAGGAUCGGCUAACUCCGUGCCAGCAGCCGCGGUAAUACGGAGGAUCCAAGCGUUAUCCGGAUUUAUUGGGUUUAAAGGGUGCGUAGGCGGGACUGCAAGUUG